GAUGAACGCUGGCGGCGUGCCUAAUACAUGCAAGUCGAGCGAACAGACGAGGAGCUUGCUCCUCUGACGUUAGCGGCGGACGGGUGAGUAACACGUGGAUAACCUACCUAUAAGACUGGGAUAACUUCGGGAAACCGGAGCUAAUACCGGAUAAUAUAUUGAACCGCAUGGUUCAAUAGUGCAAGACGGUUUUGCUGUCACUUAUAGCUGGAUCCGCGCCGCAUUAGCUAGUUGGUAAGGUAACGGCUUACCAAGGCGGCGAUGCGUAGCCGGCCUGAGAGGGGGAACAGCCACAACGGAACUGAGACACGGGCCAGACCCCUAAGGGGGGGAGCAGGGGGGAAUAUUUGACAAUGGGGGGAAACCUGAUCCGGCCAACGCGGGUGGGGGAAGAAGGCCUUCGGGUUGGAAAAACCUUUUUUUGGGAGAGAAAAAAAUGUGGAUAAAACCAUGCUGUUCUGACGGGAACCAAAGAAUAAGCCCCGGCUAACUUCGUG
This 497-nucleotide ribosomal RNA is filed under the name uncultured bacterium. RNAcentral's name for it is "partial 16S ribosomal RNA". It matches the Rfam family "Bacterial small subunit ribosomal RNA", at positions 28 to 507 of the family's 1533-position model. The record is from RNAcentral.